ACGUCGGAAGUUGCGUCGAGUGAAAGUGUUCGACGAUAUUCGCAACGUAUUUCGCGUGGGGCCCGUAAGGAAAUCGAGAGGGUGAAAUAAUCGCUUUUGAUGAUCAGCCGACCUCCGAGGGUGGAAAAUCGUCGAGAAUUUUUAUACAUUGCGUCCAUCAGGUGGAUGCGAAGUCGUUUUUUUCACGAUAUCAGAAGAUCGCAGGGUGUACCGCAAAACAGUGGUAAUCGGUGAGAAGAAUUUUUCCCGCUGCCAAGAAUUCGAGCUAGCGAAUCAUCGUCUGCAUCUGCAGACGAAUCGUCGUCGUCUUCGACUUUGUGACCAGGAAGUUUGGGGUAAAAAUCUACGACCCUAUUGGAAUUCAUCCGCAUCUGAAGCACGUCGUCGUGUUAUAGAGUUCACGGGUUCUCGGGGAGAAGACCGUACGAAACAUUCGAAAAAUUCAACGACAUCCAGAAACGUCAGGACGGAAAACUGGCAAUAACUGCAAAACUGUGACAACGAGACGGCGACGUCGCGACGCCGCCCCAGCUCGUCUUCGCGCCGAUCGUUUUCAUCCGAAGUGGCCUUCAAUCAGUUACCACGGCGGCUAAUUCGUCGCAGUACUCAUUCAACUUCCAACCACGAAGGGCGGGAGUUAUACAUGGCAUCGUUUAAUUCAUUCACAGGUAUCCAAAGAUGCUGCCGCCGUAGCUGCUGUUUGACCGGACUCCCCCUGUUCAUCAGGGGGAGUCCACCGUCCCCUGGGACUGCGCGGCCUCCCACC
Long non-coding RNA from Athalia rosae (coleseed sawfly), 766 nucleotides. RefSeq lists it as uncharacterized. Lineage: Eukaryota; Metazoa; Arthropoda; Insecta; Hymenoptera; Athaliidae. The record is from RefSeq and is a predicted model, not a curated record. The transcript has 5 exons.